UUUUCGGUGCCGCAAAGCGAAACAGAGGCGAGCCGGCGAGAUCAUAAAAAUAAAUCAAGAACCUUCGCCAAACCCCUGAGAUGGUGCGAUCUCUCUCUCACACCCUCUCUCGUCCUCUCCAUUGGAGAAAACCCUCCGCCAUGAAUACCUCAACACCCUCGCCGUCUCCUACCUCGAAGCCCGCCCGUGCGACACCGGCUUCGCCCAAGAUUCCCGACCCGAGGUUAUGACAUCACCUGUUACAAGGUUUUCUGUUGGGUCCUCUAAAGGCUGGGGCAACUCUGAUGAUUGGUGUUGCAGAUGAGCAUAUUGGAGCUGUUGUGGGUCAUGGAGCAAGGAACAUAAUGGGGAUUAGUCAGGCUAGUGGAGCAAGGAAUAAGGUAUCAGACAGAGGUUAAUUCAUUUCUUGAACAUUCGAUAGGAAAGGCACAAUACCAGGUUCAUGGGGAGCAAUGAAUGCAGCUGUAUCAAUGAUUAUGCACAAGAUAUCAUCAAUUUCUGCAAGAUAUGAUUGCCUUCACUUCUGAGUCGAGGAACAUCUUGUUACAAUGCUCAUUAACCUACAUCCAAAUCAAGAUUUUUUCGUUACAAUGCUCAUGAGAAUUUUCUGGAUAACUGACAUUGGUAAUAUCUGUAGUUAUGAUAGCAAAGCAAAGUACGAUGUAUAUGUUGUCAAGGGCUGAGGGAAAGAGGUUUUUCUGAAGUACUUGGAUUGGCAGGAUAAUGUGACCAUUUUACUGGACAUGACUGUUAGUAGAUUCUACCGUGUGCUAUGUUGAGUUUUUCAGAUUAAGUUCAA
Non-coding RNA from Elaeis guineensis (African oil palm), 799 nucleotides. The record is from RefSeq and is a predicted model, not a curated record. Lineage: Eukaryota; Viridiplantae; Streptophyta; Magnoliopsida; Arecales; Arecaceae.